This 71-nucleotide transfer RNA is filed under the name Candidatus Hodgkinia cicadicola Dsem. Its description in RNAcentral is "tRNA-Phe". It matches the Rfam family "tRNA". Rfam says of the family: Transfer RNA (tRNA) molecules are approximately 80 nucleotides in length. Their secondary structure includes four short double-helical elements and three loops (D, anti-codon, and T loops). The record is from RNAcentral. Lineage: Bacteria; Pseudomonadati; Pseudomonadota; Alphaproteobacteria; Hyphomicrobiales.
GCUAAGUAGCUCAGGGGCAGAGCGGUAGACUGAAGCUCUACUUGACAGCGGUUCAAGUCCGUUUUUAGGCG